GAUGAACGCUGGCGGCGUGCCUAAUACAUGCAAGUCGAGCGAACGGACGAGAAGCUUGCUUCUCUGAUGUUAGCGGCGGACGGGUGAGUAACACGUGGAUAACCUACCUAUAAGACUGGGAUAACUUCGGGAAACCGGAGCUAAUACCGGAUAAUAUUUUGAACCGCAUGGUUCAAAAGUGAAAGACGGUCUUGCUGUCACUUAUAGAUGGAUCCGCGCUGCAUUAGCUAGUUGGUAAGGUAACGGCUUACCAAGGCAACGAUGCAUAGCCGACCUGAGAGGGUGAUCGGCCACACUGGAACUGAGACACGGUCCAGACUCCUACGGGAGGCAGCAGUAGGGAAUCUUCCGCAAUGGGCGAAAGCCUGACGGAGCAACGCCGCGUGAGUGAUGAAGGUCUUCGGAUCGUAAAACUCUGUUAUUAGGGAAGAACAUAUGUGUAAGUAACUGUGCACAUCUUGACGGUACCUAAUCAGAAAGCCACGGCUAACUACGUGCCAGCAGCCGCGGUAAUACGUAGGUGGCAAGCGUUAUCCGGAAUUAUUGGGCGUAAAGCGCGCGUAGGCGGUUUUUUAAGUCUGAUGUGAAAGCCCACGGCUCAACCGUGGAGGGUCAUUGGAAACUGGAAAACUUGAGUGCAGAAGAGGAAAGUGGAAUUCCAUGUGUAGCGGUGAGAUGCGCAGAGAUAUGGAGGAACACCAGUGGCGAAGGCGACUUUCUGGUCUGUAACUGACGCUGAUGUGCGAAAGCGUGGGGAUCAAACAGGAUUAGAUACCCUGGUAGUCCACGCCGUAAUCGAUGAGUGCUAAGUGUUAGGGGGUUUCCGCCCCUUAGUGCUGCAGCUAACGCAUUAAGCACUCCGCCUGGGGAGUACGACCGCAAGGUUGAAACUCAAAGGAAUUGACGGGGACCUGCACAAGCGGUGGAGCAUGUGGUUUAAUUCGAAGCAACGCGAAGAACCUUACCAAAUCUUGACAUCCUUUGACAACUCUAGAGAUAGAGCCUUCCCCUUCGGGGGACAAAGUGACAGGUGGUGCAUGGUUGUCGUCAGCUCGUGUCGUGAGAUGUUGGGUUAAGUCCCGCAACGAGCGCAACCCUUAAGCUUAGUUGCCAUCAUUAAGUUGGGCACUCUAAGUUGACUGCCGGUGACAAACCGGAGGAAGGUGGGGAUGACGUCAAAUCAUCAUGCCCCUUAUGAUUUGGGCUACACACGUGCUACAAUGGACAAUACAAAGGGCAGCGAAACCGCGAGGUCAAGCAAAUCCCAUAAAGUUGUUCUCAGUUCGGAUUGUAGUCUGCAACUCGACUACAUGAAGCUGGAAUCGCUAGUAAUCGUAGAUCAGCAUGCUACGGUGAAUACGUUCCCGGGUCU
This 1372-nucleotide ribosomal RNA is filed under the name uncultured bacterium. RNAcentral describes it as "bacterial SSU rRNA". It matches the Rfam family "Bacterial small subunit ribosomal RNA", at positions 28 to 1381 of the family's 1533-position model. The record is from RNAcentral.